GAAAUGCGAUAAGUAGUGUGAAUUGCAGAAUUUAGCGAAUCAUCGAAUCUUUGAACGCACAUUGUGCCCCUUGGUAUUCCAUGGGGCAUGCCUGUUCGAGCGUCAUUUCAACCCUCAAGCACUGCUUGGUGUUGGGCGUUUGUCCCGCCUACGCGCGUGGACUCGCCUCAAAGUCAUUGGCAGCUGUUCCCCUUCGGCUCGUAAGCGCAGCACAGUCGGCGCCCGGAGCUCUGGUGGGAUGUCGUCCAGCAAGCUAUAUUUUCAGGCUUGACCUCGGAUCAGGUAGGGAUACCCGCUGAACUUAAGC
This 307-nucleotide unclassified non-coding RNA is filed under the name plant metagenome. RNAcentral's name for it is "partial contains 5.8S ribosomal RNA, internal transcribed spacer 2, and large subunit ribosomal RNA". The stretch from base 1 to 105 matches the Rfam family "5.8S ribosomal RNA", at positions 50 to 154 of the family's 154-position model. The record is from RNAcentral.